Molecule: ribosomal RNA, 618 nt
Filed under: uncultured bacterium
Lineage: Bacteria
Description: bacterial SSU rRNA
Rfam family: Bacterial small subunit ribosomal RNA
Source: RNAcentral
AGAGUUUGAUCCUGGCUCAGAACGAACGCUGGCGGCGUGCCUAACACAUGCAAGUCCAACGUGAAAGGGGAGCAAUCCCCCGGUAGGGUGGCAAACGGGUGAGUAAUACAUGGGUGAUCUACCUUAGGGAUGGGGAUAUCCUUCCGAAAGGAGGGGCAAUACCGAAUAUUGUCCGGAGCCGUGAAGGGUUCCGGGGAAAGGGAGGCCUCUGAUACAAGCUUUCGCCUUAAGAUGAGCCCAUGGCCCAUCAGCUAGUUGGUAGGGUAAAGGCCUACCAAGGCUACGACGGGUCGCUGGUCUGAGAGGACGACCAGCCACACUGGCACUGAGAUACGGGCCAGACUCCUACGGGAGGCAGCAGUGAGGAAUAUUGCGCAAUGGGGGAAACCCUGACGCAGCAACGCCGCGUGUGGGAAGAAGGCCUUCGGGUCGUAAACCACUUUUGCACGGGACGAAAAAGGGAUAUCGAACAAAUAUCCCCGAUGACGGUACCGUGAGAAUAAGCCACGGCUAAGUCUGUGCCAGCAGCCGCGGUAAGACAGAGGUGGCAAGCGUUGUUCGGAAUUACUGGGCGUAAAGAGUCUGUAGGUGGUUUGUCAAGUCUUUGGUGAAAGGCCG